RNAcentral lists this ribosomal RNA (491 nucleotides) under uncultured bacterium. RNAcentral's name for it is "partial 16S ribosomal RNA". It matches the Rfam family "Bacterial small subunit ribosomal RNA", at positions 29 to 507 of the family's 1533-position model. The record is from RNAcentral.
GUGCGCGCUGGCGGUAGGCCUCACACCUGCCAGUCGAACGGCAGCACAGUAAGAGCUUGCUCUUACGGGUGGCGAGUGGCGGACGGGUGAGGAAUACAUCGGAAUCUACUUUUUCGUGGGGGAUAACGUAGGGAAACUUACGCUAAUACCGCAUACGACCUACGGGUGAAAGCAGGGGAUCUUCGGACCUUGCGCGAUUGAAUGAGCCGAUGUCGGAUUAGCUAGUUGGCGGGGUAAAGGCCCACCAAGGCGACGAUCCGUAGCUGGUCUGAGAGGAUGAUCAGCCACACUGGAACUGAGACACGGUCCAGACUCCUACGGGAGGCAGCAGUGGGGAAUAUUGGACAAUGGGCGCAAGCCUGAUCCAGCCAUACCGCGUGGGUGAAGAAGGCCUUCGGGUUGUAAAGCCCUUUUGUUGGGAAAGAAAAGCAGCAGGUUAAUACCCCGCUGUUCUGACGGUACCCAAAGAAUAAGCACCGGCUAACUUCGUG